Molecule: ribosomal RNA, 490 nt
Filed under: uncultured bacterium
Lineage: Bacteria
Description: partial 16S ribosomal RNA
Rfam family: Bacterial small subunit ribosomal RNA
Source: RNAcentral
AGUGAACGCUGGCGGCAGGCCUAACACAUGCAAGUCGAACGGCAGCACAAGAGAGCUUGCUCUCUGGGUGGCGAGUGGCGGACGGGUGAGGAAUGCAUCGGAAUCUGCCCAUUUGUGGGGGAUAACCUCGGGAAACCGGGACUAAUACCGCAUACGACCUACGGGUGAAAGCAGGGGAUCUUCGGACCUUGCGCAGAUGGAUGAGCCGAUGCCGGAUUAGCUAGUUGGAGGGGUAAAGGCCCACCAAGGCGACGAUCCGUAGCUGGUCUGAGAGGACGAUCAGCCACACUGGGACUGAGACACGGCCCAGACUCCUACGGGAGGCAGCAGUGGGGAAUAUUGGACAAUGGGCGCAAGCCUGAUCCAGCCAUGCCGCGUGUGUGAAGAAGGCCUUCGGGUUGUAAAGCACUUUUGUUGGGAAAGAAAAGCAGCCGGUUAAUACCCGGUUGUCAUGACGGUACCCAAAGAAUAAGCACCGGCUAACUUCGUG